Small nucleolar RNA from Tachyglossus aculeatus (Australian echidna), 138 nucleotides. The record is from RefSeq and is a predicted model, not a curated record. Lineage: Eukaryota; Metazoa; Chordata; Mammalia; Monotremata; Tachyglossidae.
CCCCUCUCAGGAUAGCACCUGGAAGGUUUCCAGUACUCUACCAGUCUUGGCUACAGGAGGGAGAGUCAAGCAGAGGCAUACCCAUUCCAUUCCUGUCUUGGGCAGUGGCUUGUGAGUGGAAGGCAAUCUGCUACAAGU